This is a non-coding RNA of Theobroma cacao (cacao), 293 nucleotides long. Lineage: Eukaryota; Viridiplantae; Streptophyta; Magnoliopsida; Malvales; Malvaceae. The record is from RefSeq and is a predicted model, not a curated record.
AUUUUAUUGACAUUCAAAGCAAAGUUCUUGGCUAGGUUUAGAUCUUCAUAACUCACGAAGUUUGCUUCGGAUGUCGUUUGCUGGAUUUCCCAGAUCAGAGCCAAAAAAUCUCUUGCAUCUCCUGAGUCAACGGUCACUCAUCGGCGAGUAGACAUAUUUGGAAUUUCAGUGCAUGGAGGAUGUUUACCAGCCGGGAUGAAGAAAAUAAGCUACUAGGAACUGCUUGGACAUGGUGGAAGUUUCCUUGUCUUCGACCCACAGAUUGUAGCAUGAAACACUUUUCAUGACUUGAA